This 940-nucleotide long non-coding RNA is filed under the name Nicotiana tabacum (common tobacco). Its description in RNAcentral is "long non-coding RNA (NTAB_LNC018027)". The record is from RNAcentral. Lineage: Eukaryota; Viridiplantae; Streptophyta; Magnoliopsida; Solanales; Solanaceae.
UUUUUCAGUCAGUCAGCAUUAGAGUUUUAAACCCUAAACUGACCUUUUUCCUUUAAUCAGCAUUAGGGUUUUAAACCCUAACUGAACUUUUUUCCUUUCAGCCAGCAUUAGGGUUUUAAACCCUAAGCUGAGCUUUUCCAUGCAAUCAGCAUUAGGGUUUUAAACCCUAAACUGAACUUUCCCUUUAGUCAGCAUUAGGGUUUUAAACCCUAACUGAACUUUUUUCCAUUCAGCCAGCAUUAGGGUUUUAAACCCUAAACUAAGCUUUUUCCAUGCAAUCAGCACUAGGGUUUUAAACCCUAAACUGAACUUUUCCUCGCAAUCAGCAUUAGGGUUUUAAACCCUAAACUGAACUUUUCCUUUAGUCAGCAUUAGGGUUUUAAACCCUAACUGAACUUUUUUCCAUUCAGCCAGCAUUAGGGUUUUAAACCCUAAACUGAAUUUUUUCCACUCAGUCAGCAUUAGGGUUUUAAACCCUAAACUGAACUUUUCCUUGCAAUCAGCAUUAGGGUUUUAAACCCUAAACUGAAUUUUUCCUUUAGUCAGCAUUAGGGUUUUAAACCCUAACUGAACUUUUUUCCAUUCAGCCAGCAUUAGGGUUUUAAACCCUAAACUGAGCUUUUCCAUGCAAUCAGCAUUAGGGUUUUAAACCCUAAACUGAAUUUUUCCUUUAGUCAGCAUUAGGGUUUUAAACCCUAACUGAACUUUUUCCAUUCAACCAGCAUUAGGGUUUUAAACCCUAAACUGAGCUUUUCCAUGCAAUCAGCAUUAGGGUUUUAAACCCUAAACUGAACUUUUCCUUGCAAUCAGCAUUAGGGUUUUAAACCCUAAACUGAAUUUUUCCUUUAGUCAGCAUUAGGGUUUUAAACCCUAAACUGAAUUUUUCGUUUAGUCAGCAUUAGGGUUUUAAACCCUAAACUGAACUUUUUCCAUUUAGUCA